Molecule: unclassified non-coding RNA, 309 nt
Filed under: Nakaseomyces glabratus
Lineage: Eukaryota; Fungi; Ascomycota; Saccharomycetes; Saccharomycetales; Saccharomycetaceae
Description: [Candida] glabrata sequence contains 5.8S rRNA gene
Source: RNAcentral
CUGAGCUCGGAAGAGACUCUCUGGUGAGGACCAUGUAACCUCAGGAGGCUCCUAAAUUUUUCUCUGCUGUGAAUGCUAUUUCUCCUGCCUGCGCUAAGGUGCGCGGUUGGUGGCUGUUCUGCAGUGGGGGGAGGGAGCCGACAACGACCUGGGAGUGUGCGUGCAUCUCUAUAUUCAAAAGAACGUUUUUUUUCCCACUACUCGACACUUUCAAUUACAACACAUACCGUAGUUUACUUUGCAACGACUCUUUUGAGGGGAGGGGGAGCGCGCCCAUUGGGGAGGAAAAUCACCAUCGGAUGCUAACGC